Molecule: ribosomal RNA, 370 nt
Filed under: uncultured soil bacterium
Lineage: Bacteria
Description: bacterial SSU rRNA
Rfam family: Bacterial small subunit ribosomal RNA
Source: RNAcentral
AGAAUCAACGCUGGCGGCGUGCCUCAGACAUGCAAGUCGAACGAUUAAAGCCCUCUUCGGAGAGUGUAUAGAGUGGCGCACGGGUGAGUAACACGUAAGUAAUCUACCUUUGAGUGGGGAAUAACAGUCGGAAACGACUGCUAAUACCGCAUAAUGCAGCGGCAUCGCAAGAUGACAGUUGUUAAAGGAGCAAUCCGACUUAAAGAGGAGCUUGCGGCAGAUUAGCUAGUUGGUAAGGUAAUGGCUUACCAAGGCUACGAUCUGUAACCGGUCUAAGAGGACGGUCGGUCACACUGACACUGAAUAACGGGUACACGACGUCCGUAACGGGAGGCAAGCGAGUCGGGUAAGUUUUGGGACAAGUGGGACG